UGCAUAACCAUUUUUCUCUUUCCUCCAUAUCAUCAUAUUUGCUCGUGUGACAAUUGAAAAAGUUAGCUAAAAUUCGUAAUUGCACCUCUGCCGUCACCGAGCAAAACGAUUCACUUCUUUCGUUGAUGUCAUGGAAGAUGUGAGCACCAACAGCCACAUUGGCCGCAUAAGAACAAUCUAAACCUUUAAAACAUGCAACAACCAAGUUAGGCUAUGUAUAAAGCAAGCACUGCUAUCUGCAGCAAUUGUAUAUGACUUCAGCUCAAACUGUAUCUACAUUCAGAGCACCGUCCAAUAAAUUUCUUGGAGGUUCUUCUGCAAUGGAUCAGGAACUCUCCGGGCAGAAUGAGCCAAGAAUGCCACAAUGUUCUGUUCUGGCCCAUGCAGCACUUCCCAAUGC
Molecule: long non-coding RNA, 400 nt
Filed under: Oryza brachyantha (malo sina)
Lineage: Eukaryota; Viridiplantae; Streptophyta; Magnoliopsida; Poales; Poaceae
Description: long non-coding RNA (OBRA_LNC002913)
Source: RNAcentral